GCUAGUAAUCGCGAAUCAGCAUGUCGCGGUGAAUACGUUCCCGGGUCUUGUACACACCGCCCGUCACACCAUGGGAGUCGGUAACGCCCGAAGUCAGUGACCCAACCGGAAGGAGGGAGCUGCCGAAGGCGGGACUGGUAACUGGGGUGAAGUCGUAACAAGGUACC
This 167-nucleotide ribosomal RNA is filed under the name uncultured bacterium. Its description in RNAcentral is "partial 16S ribosomal RNA". It matches the Rfam family "Bacterial small subunit ribosomal RNA", at positions 1334 to 1500 of the family's 1533-position model. The record is from RNAcentral.